RNAcentral lists this ribosomal RNA (253 nucleotides) under uncultured bacterium. RNAcentral describes it as "partial 16S ribosomal RNA". It matches the Rfam family "Bacterial small subunit ribosomal RNA", at positions 524 to 776 of the family's 1533-position model. The record is from RNAcentral.
GACGAACCGUACGAACGUUAUUCGGAAUCACUGGGCUUAAAGGGUGCGUAGGCGGUGCGGAAAGUUGGGUGUGAAAUCCCUCGGCUCAACCGAGGAAUAGCGCUCAAAACUGCCGUGCUCGAGGGAGACAGAGGUGAGUGGAACUUAGGGUGGAGCGGUGAAAUGCUUUGAUAUCCUAAGGAACACCAGUGGCGAAAGCGACUCACUGGGUCUCUUCUGACGCUGAGGCACGAAAGCUAGGGGAGCAAACGGG